Molecule: ribosomal RNA, 253 nt
Filed under: uncultured bacterium
Lineage: Bacteria
Description: partial 16S ribosomal RNA
Rfam family: Bacterial small subunit ribosomal RNA
Source: RNAcentral
UACGGAGGGGACUAGCGUUGUUCGGAAUUACUGGGCGUAAAGCGCACGUAGGCGGAUUUGUAAGUCAGGGGUGAAAUCCCGGGGCUCAACCUCGGAACUGCCUUUGAUACUGCAAAUCUCGAGUCCGGAAGAGGUGAGUGGAAUUCCUAGUGUAGAGGUGAAAUUCGUAGAUAUUAGGAAGAACACCAGUGGCGAAGGCGACUCGCUGGACAAGUAUUGACGCUGAGGUGCGAAAGCGUGGGGAGCAAACAGG